CAUGACUCAACAUCGACCCCAGGCUCCUGGGCUAGGUAUGUUGCUUGAAGGACACAAAGAGGGGACAACCUGAGGAGCCAGAGUAAGCAGCCAGCAGUUUAAUUUCAGCAUAGUAUGCAACCUGUGGAAUUCAUUGUUCGAAAAUACUACUGAGGCCAAGAGCUUUGGAAGAUAUUACUCUCACAUUUUCCAUACAGGAGCAAUAAAAAUAUCAUCCACCCCUACACCAGCUGGGAUAAAGAACCUACAAGGGAUAUAAAUCUUCAUCUUUCAUGACAAUAAUUGCUGUGAGCUAGACUAGGAAGACUAUUGCAUAACUGUCCACCGUGAGGGUUUUCUACCUCCCAUGAAGCACGUGGUGCUGGCUGCUGGCAGAGACGGGCUGCUUGGAGGGGCAUGUCUGUUUUCCCUUUCCAUUCCUCCUCUCCCCAGACACAUCCUUUUAUCUGGAACAGAUCCUUCAGCUGUCCUGCUGGAGACCUUUGGAGCAGUGGAGCAUCACACGGGACAGACCACCAUCCUGGGCUCUCCUGGCAGCUCAGGGCUGUAUUUGGUGUGCCUGGCAUUAUUCUGGUGAGCUGGGGGAAAUGAGACAUGUCUCUGGCCUUGGGAGAUGUGAAAGCUGGUAGCCCUUUAUCAUACUCCCCACAGGGGCAAACUCCAUGGGUACGAGUCAGCACCAGGGAAGAUGCCUGUCUGAUGCAGACGUCAGCAUUCCCCUCAGACAGAGGUUUUCUGGUGAAUCGCUGCUGCUCUGAGAGGCUGUGAUCAGAGAGCAUGAGGCCGUUCCCUUAGGCAGAUGGUGCCCAGCCUGUGAAUUGGUUUGGAGAGGAGGACUGAAAGUCUGGAUUUGGCCUAAAAUUUGGUACGGAGGUGUGAAGAACCAAAAGUUCUGGUGUUUGAAGUCUGCACUGGAAUUAGAGGGAAGAAACCUAGGGUCUCUGGAAACACUGCAUCAGAUUCUGAGCCCAAAGGGAAGAGAUGUCUUCUCCUUGCCAGAAGAUUCAUUAUUGCUAUUCAUGUGCAGCGUGGUUAGGUGCCAGCCAAGAACGGGACUCCACUGCUCUAGGCAAUGUUCAUACAGAGUAGAAGAUACAAAUCUAACAGAUGUGGCUAUUUCAAUGUUUAGAAGCGAUGAGGAGCAGGGUGAACACCAAGGCUGUGGAUUGUCCUAACAUGCUGAGAAAUGGGGCCAAUGAUGUAAGCUCUCCUUAGUGCUUGCCUACUGUUUUUCAGGGAGACACGCUAAACUUUUCCAAAGGAAGAGAAAUUCUGAAAGGUAUUCGCAAGCCAAAUCAAUUUAUUCUUAGAAUUUUCAUGCAAAGUGGGAUUUCCAACUGUUUCCAGUUUGGGAAUUUGAGUUUCACAUUUAGUAUUUCAUUUACAUUCCAGAAUUUCAAAGCACGAGUCAGAAAUCCUAGUUCAUGCCCUUUCUGUGUUUUAUCAUGAUUACUGCCUGUUUUAGAAUAAAGCGUAGUGCAUAAUAUGGCAAGAGA
This is a long non-coding RNA of Oxyura jamaicensis (ruddy duck), 1496 nucleotides long. RefSeq lists it as uncharacterized. NCBI's taxonomy places the organism in Eukaryota, Metazoa, Chordata, Aves, Anseriformes, Anatidae. The record is from RefSeq and is a predicted model, not a curated record. The transcript has 2 exons.